This 1002-nucleotide long non-coding RNA is filed under the name Phasianus colchicus (ring-necked pheasant). RNAcentral's name for it is "lncRNA (ENSPCLG00000019146.1)". The record is from RNAcentral. Lineage: Eukaryota; Metazoa; Chordata; Aves; Galliformes; Phasianidae.
AUGGACAGGCAAGCAGCAUAUGAAUUAUUUACCGUCUUCUUAAGGAAGCGGCAGUUUAAGGGAAUAGAUUUAGAUAAGGAUCUCCCUGUGUUGUUAAGUCAUGCAGUUUCUUUUGGGUUGUUUACGAAUCCCCAUUCAGUACAUACUUUGGAAGAGUGGAGACGUUAUGGGGAUAAGUUGUGGGAGUUAGUCUUGGAGGAAGAUAAGCCAGCAAAAAAGAUGAGUAAGUUGUGGAAGGCUGUGCAUAACAAGUUAUUGAUGUCUCAAGCUGAAAGGAGGGCAGCGCAGGGUGCUCAGGCAGCGCAGCAGCAAAACAAUGAGUAUGGUCUUGGUCACUACGCCCCCCCUCCUCCUUCCUCCACAGUGCUAACUAUACCACCAUCCGCACCUGGGCCCUCGGCACCCCCAGACGAGCCCACGGACGCUGGCAGUUCCGUGUCCGCCACGGGUGGGGAACCUUCUGAUCCCGUCCCGGGGGCUGAGUCAGACCUCGCAGAGGCUAUAGUUCGGGGAAGGCGGGAGAUGUGGUCCAUGUUAGCCAAACAGGGAAUGGAGGAAGGCGAUGCCGACCUCUUACAGGCGGCAAUGGAGCAGCUACCGUUCCCGGGGGUGUAUGCACCUUUGCCACAAGGAGGAAUGCAGGCUGAGAUUCGGAAUCUGGAUUGGAAGAUGUUGUCUCAGUUGCAAGCCACAGUGGGGUCCUACAGGGUGACGAGUGAGCCAGUUAAACAAAUGCUAGACUACAUCUUUAGUGCAAAUACUCUCCUGCCUGCAGAUAUUAAGGCGGUAACUAGACUAAUAUAUACCCCCCAUCAGCUGCUCUUGUUUAACGCCCACUGGCAGCAUGAGGCUACAAUAUCCGCCACAGUGCAAAGGGGUCCUGGGGAUCCGCUAGCAGGGGUCACAGUGGAUCAUUUGAUGGGUCUUGGUCAAUGGGUACAGGCGGAGGCGCAGGCCCUGAUAUUUGUCGGGAAAGUAUGGAUACAGCCAGGAGAGCCAUGA